RNAcentral lists this long non-coding RNA (493 nucleotides) under Equus asinus (donkey). RNAcentral describes it as "lncRNA (ENSEASG00005024878.1)". Lineage: Eukaryota; Metazoa; Chordata; Mammalia; Perissodactyla; Equidae. The record is from RNAcentral.
CUGGCCUCCUGACUCCAUUUGAAAUGGAUUUCUGCUUGUUGAUUUUCACAGUGGCUUAAACAACAGAAUAUUUUUCUCACCAUUAUGGAGGCUGGGAAGUCCAAGAUCAAGGUGCCAGCAAGCUCCUUUCCUUUUUCAUAAAUGUAGCCUAGAAGAUAAAUCUGUUGUAUGAAGCCCCAGACUGAAGGCAAAAAGAAACUACAGGAAGGAGGUCACAUAGUUUCAUAUGAUAAAGCCAAGAUAAGAGAGACAUCAAAUCACUCACGUCUCUUUGCCACUGAUGUUUGAACUUGCCAGUGUAGAAGGAGAGAGUAGGAACUAUUGUAUUCCACCUUCAGCAGCAACAGUUUCGUCAGUUAGACUGCGACUGCUGAAUCUUUAUCCUCGGGAUGUGGUGAGACAGGGCGACAGCUUCCAGAUUGCUGACUAGCUAUUUUGGGACUUGUAAACUUGUGGCACAACUGACUUGUAAAUCAAUGCUUGUAUAAAUGCA